CCUACGGGAGGCAGCAGUGGGGGAUAUUGCACAAUGGGGGGAACCCGGAUGCAGCGACGCCGCGUGGGUGAAGGAGCGUUUCGGCGCGUAAAGCCCUAUCGGCAGGGAAGAAGGAGGACGGUACCUGACUAAGAAGCCCCGGCUAACUACGUGCCAGCAGCCGCGGUAAUACGUAGGGGGCAAGCGUUAUCCGGAUUUACUGGGUGUAAGGGGGGCGCAGACGGCAGCGCAAGCCAGGAGUGAAAGCCCGGGGCCCAACCCCGGGACUGCUCUUGGAACUGCGCGGCUGGAGUGCAGGAGGGGCAGGCGGAAUUCCUGGUGUAGCGGUGAAAUGCGUAGAUAUCAGGAGGAACACCGGUGGCGAAGGCGGUCUGCUGGACAGCAACUGACGGUGAGGCGCGAAAGCGUGGGGAGCAAACAGGAUUAGAUACCCUUGUAGUC
RNAcentral lists this ribosomal RNA (441 nucleotides) under uncultured bacterium. Its description in RNAcentral is "partial 16S ribosomal RNA". It matches the Rfam family "Bacterial small subunit ribosomal RNA", at positions 338 to 795 of the family's 1533-position model. The record is from RNAcentral.